UCUGUCAUUCAGCAGGGAAUGAUACACACUCCGUCUUGCACUCUAUGUUCUUUCUUUAAAACAACAUGCAGAAGCCAGGCGUGGUGGCUCACGCCUGUAAUC
Molecule: long non-coding RNA, 102 nt
Organism: Sapajus apella (tufted capuchin)
Lineage: Eukaryota; Metazoa; Chordata; Mammalia; Primates; Cebidae
Exons: 3
Source: RefSeq, a predicted model, not a curated record